RNAcentral lists this ribosomal RNA (253 nucleotides) under uncultured bacterium. RNAcentral describes it as "partial 16S ribosomal RNA". It matches the Rfam family "Bacterial small subunit ribosomal RNA", at positions 524 to 776 of the family's 1533-position model. The record is from RNAcentral.
UACGUAGGGCGCAAGCGUUGUCCGGAAUCAUUGGGCGUAAAGAGCUCGUAGGCGGCCUGUCGCGUCUGCUGUGAAAUCCCGGGGCUCAACCCCGGGCGUGCAGUGGAUACGGGCUGGCUAGAGGCAGGCAGGGGAGAACGGAAUUCCCGGUGUAGCGGUGAAAUGCGCAGAUAUCGGGAGGAACACCGGUGGCGAAGGCGGUUCUCUGGGCCUUACCUGACGCUGAGGAGCGAAAGCGUGGGGAGCGAACGGG